RNAcentral lists this ribosomal RNA (301 nucleotides) under uncultured bacterium. RNAcentral's name for it is "partial 16S ribosomal RNA". It matches the Rfam family "Bacterial small subunit ribosomal RNA", at positions 509 to 807 of the family's 1533-position model. The record is from RNAcentral.
CAGUAGCCGCGGUAAUACGAAGGGUGCAAGCGUUACUCGGAAUUACUGGGCGUAAAGCGUGCGUAGGUGGUGGUUUAAGUCCGUUGUGAAAGCCCUGGGCUCAACCUGGGGAUUGCAGUGGAUACUGGGUCACUAGAGUGUGGUAGAGGAUAGUGGAAUUUCCGGUGUAGCAGUGAAAUGCGUAGAGAUCGGAAGGAACAUCUGUGGCGAAGGCGACUAUCUGGGCCAACACUGACACUGAGGCACGAAAGCGUGGGGAGCAAACAGGAUUAGAUACCCCAGUAGUCCCUGUCUCUUAUAC